GUAGGGAAUAUUGGACAAUGGGCGAAAGCCUGAUCCAGCCAUGCCGCGUGUGUGAAGAAGGUCUUCGGAUUGUAAAGCACUUUAAGUUGGGAGGAAGGGCAGUAAGUUAAUACCUUGCUGUUUUGACGUUACCGACAGAAUAAGCACCGGCUAACUUCGUGCCAGCAGCCGCGGUAAUACGAAGGGUGCAAGCGUUAAUCGGAAUUACUGGGCGUAAAGCGCGCGUAGGUGGUUUUGUAAGUUGGAGGUGAAAUCCCCGGGCUCAACCUGGGAACUGCAUCCAAAACUGCAUGACUAGAGUACGGUAGAGGGUAGUGGAAUUUCCUGUGUAGCGGUGAAAUGCGUAGAUAUAGGAAGGAACACCAGUGGCGAAGGCGACUACCUGGACUGAUACUGACACUGAGGUGCGAAAGCGUGGGGAGCAAACAGGAUUAGAAACCCUUGUAGUCC
This 450-nucleotide ribosomal RNA is filed under the name uncultured bacterium. Its description in RNAcentral is "bacterial SSU rRNA". It matches the Rfam family "Bacterial small subunit ribosomal RNA", at positions 354 to 796 of the family's 1533-position model. The record is from RNAcentral.